UGUUUAUUUGGUGUUAAGAAAUUAUCAGAGUGCAUCAACUACUUGCUCAGAACCUGCAAAACCUUUGAUUUCAUUUAGUGGCCUGUUUGGGGUUUUAAAAACUUUUUUAAACUUCACGAAUAGGAAAAAUGGAAAAAGUGGUACAUUUGUGUGGCAUUACCAAUCCUUAAAUGCCUGUCUUCACCCUGGCGGCUGUUCUCUUGGAGGGCACUGGCAGAAGGAGAUUUGCUUGUAAGAUUUUGCCUCUUUGUGGAAUUUGAUAUCAGCAAAUCCACAAACAAAAUCCGAACUGGAACAACCAGUUAACUCCUCUCUCUUUAAUGCCAAGCUUUAUGGAAAUGUAUUCCUUGUGUGGUGUUGAGCUUUUUCUAAUGUCCAAUUUUAGAAAAUGUUCUGCAUGCGAACGCAGCAUCGUGCUCAUUGUACAAGUUACCCGACACUCAUCUCCUCCUCCAUAUGUAUGAUGGUGAAGAAAUAGCAACAUGUAUGUUCUUACCUCUCCUGAUCAAUUGUAAAUUACAAAUCUUUUCAUUAAUUUUUAAAUGAGAUAUAUUUACUCUGGCUAGCAGUUAAAAAUUUAUUCUUUUUAUUAUAUUUCAUUGCUACUUUUUUCUACUGACUCCAAAGCUUACUUUGGCGAAUAUUUCUUAUUUCUAGAUUGUUGUAUUUAUCUUAUUUCUAUAUUUAUCUAUAGUCACAGAAUGUUAAAGCUGAAAGGGACCAACCUCUCAUUUUACAAAUAAAGAAACUGAGGCCCCCAAAGUCAAUUAACUUACACAAGGUCAUGCAGUGGCAGGGCCCAGACUCAAUCUCAGCUCUCCUGCUUCCGGGCCCAGUGUUUUUCAUCUAAAGCACUGCAUUUAUAGAAGACCCGUAGCCAGCUUCUACUUUUAUGACACACUAAUUUCCCAGGUAUUUCAGCAGACAGUAUGUAUGCUUUAAGGAAAAUGUUCAAGAGUUCUUUAGUUCAUGGAUCCAAAUAUAAAUCUGGAUUUUUGGUUUAGAAAUGUUCAUUUCCCUCCGAAUUCAAUAUAUGUGCCCUACUCUAUGGAGUGGAUGUUUUCCCUAAAAGUUAUUUGCAAAAUGAAUUUUUAUAGAGCAUAUUCCAUUUUUUAAUAGAGAAGCUUCCUAUGUAAAGGAAUCUUCUGGUGACUUCUUUUGAAAAACAAAAAAUCCUCUUGUCAAUGCCCCGUAAUGUCUCCACUUCUUCUCAGUGUGAACUUUUGUGAUUGGUAUUUAUUUCAAGCAGGGCUAGCCAAUAUAGGCUUUCCCAGAAUCUACCUUAUCCUUCCCUUCUUAAACUUUCUAAGAUCAUUUCAGACUGUUAGAUGCUCAUGAGACACUGAAUUGAGUUCCAGAAGCCUCACCUAACGAAAUUUUGUCAAUCCCUGGGCUCAAACUCUAUCUCCACUUUCUCAAACCAUGGCAGAAUCCCCUAAGCAGUAUGAGCUCUGCAUGCGGUCUCUUUUCCAGAACAUUCUUUACCUAAUGCAAAGAAUGACUAGUAUGACUCUCUCUUUUGCUUAUUGUCAGGCUUCCUUCCAUAGCUCCUGUGUACCUCAGUAGUCUGGCUUAGUGGACUUGCAGGCAGUGCAACUCAUAUGGAGUGGUGUUCUCGUCCUUCUCCCGGACCUCCCCUGGUUUCCCUUUCAGGAAUACUCAAGACUGAUGGGAUGUUUCUCAUCAUCUAGACCAGAGGUAGACAAACUUUUCCUGUAAAGGGCCAGAUAGUAACUCUUUUAGGCUGUGUGGGCCACGGAUGACCUCUGCAGCAUAGUCGUCUUCUUCUUUGUUGCUGUUAUUUGUUUGCUUGCUUGCUUUACAACAGUUUAAAAAUGUAAAUACCAUUCUUAGUUCUCGGGCCAUACAAAGCCGAAGACUGGACGUGGCCCGCUUGUCAUAGUUCGCUGACUGCCAGUCCAGCCUAUCUCAUGUGAUGGGCAUCUCUGUGACCGAACCCACUUGAUGACUGGGUUGUGUGCUGGAUGACAUGGCUCAUUGACGUCCCAUCGACCACACUGUCAGACCAGCCUGCACAGAAGUGGGUGGAGAGGGGCUGCAAGUGCUAACCAGCACUCCUCGACAGCUGCCCUCUGGUUUUCUCUCCGUCUCUGUUUCUGUCUCUCUGACUACCUCAGUCUAGAAACCCUCAUUAUUUUCUCCAGAUCUCCUGGCCUGGUUAUCCAGUAUGCCUCUGCCUCCUCGAGUAUGGGAUGAGCUUGCAGGAAAGAAUGGAUUUAUGAGCUCUAUUAUUUCUCUUGUCCCAAACAGUGGGUGGGGAAUCCUGCCAUGGAUCAUCUGUCCCCCUCUGCCCCAUACUGCCAUCGCAAGUUCAGGGCUGUCUGAAAAGUCUGGUGGCCCAGGUUGUGAGAUUCUGGUUCAGUCUACAAUUUUCUAGGGAAUUCAUCAGCUCUCUUGGUUCCAGUGGCUGGUUUAAAACCCAGAAUGUCCAUGUGUCCCUUUUCUUUUCUUUUCUUUCCAGGGCACACCUGCAGCAUGUGGAGGUUCCCAGGUUAGGGGUCAAAUCGGAGCUGUAGCUGCCAGCCUAUGCCAUAGCCACAGCAAUGCCAGAUCUGAGCCGCAUCUGUGACCUACACCACAGCUCACAGCAAUGCCAGAUCCUUAAUCCACUGAGUGAGGCCAGACAUCAAACCCCUGUCCUCACGGAUACUAGUUGGAUUCGUAACCCGCUGAGCCACAGCAGGAACUCCAUGUGUCCAUUUUCUAAUGUGACGUGGGCCUGUUCUAGACUCAGCCGCAGCAAUGACACCAGUGAGGUACGGAAGGCAUCCUGUGCCCACAGCUUCCCCUGCCUAACCCCCUGCCUCCUAGCCCCUGCAGCCAUCAGGCACUCAGCACACCACCACCUCCUAUUUUCAAGGAUUUCUUAAAGAGUCUUCAUAUUUCUCUCCAUCUCAUUCCCAUCUCGACCUCUCAUGCUACUUGCGGGUGUAAAGCUCAGUUUCCCAUUUUCACAUUUGUUUGAAUAGAUAUUGGGGGAUAAGAGUGAAUGACGAGGUGUGUGCGACUGUGGUUUCUCCACCUGAACUGUGAAGGCCCAUUCGCUGGCGUAUGCGCCCCCCCAGUCCCCCACCACACACACCAUCCAGUUCUCUCAUCAGUUCUCCGGUCCAGUCCAGGUCUGAUGGGGCUGGUUGAAAAGGGGAUAUUGGGGGCUCCUGGGGCAUUUCCCUUUUCUUGUCUUUUGAAAACUUCUUUGCUCUGGCUUGUGCUGGCCUCUCCCAGGAAGCCAUUUGAAGAAACCACUCUGAGGCAAUUCUGGAGAGACCGACACACAGAAAGCUAGGACUUUGAUUCCAUGUGGACUCAAAUCACUUGGACAUACCUCUCAAGCUGCAGGAUUUUUUUCUUUUUUAAUCUAAGAAAAUUGCUUCUCGGGAACUUUCAUUUGCUUUCUGUCCUUUGAGCCCAGGGAUCUUCCCACUUACUGAAACCUAAAUUGUAAAAGUCAGAGACAUGAGUAAUUUUAGGAUUUCCCUAUUUGAGAGCAUCCAUCAAACAGUUUCUUUCUGCCUUUUGUUUAGGAUUUCCAGCCUUAGGAAGGGAACCGAGCUUGUACCUUGGACUCAAGAGCAGCAAAAUACUGCACUUGUCGAAGGCAAAAUGAGGAAGGUAAAUUGGCUACUCCAAUUCUGCAUAGUCAGGAGAGGGACUUUGGUUAAGUUAGAGCUCACCAUUCAAUGCGUAUCGAGUGUCAACAAUGCACUCAAGAAAAAUAAGGAAGAUAGAAAUUUACAGACCAAUAUCCUAAACUGGAAGGCAGAGAUAAGGUGAUUCCCCCCAGUGAUGAGCAUGUAUUCCUGGAUAAAACUUUCAAGAAGCAGUAGAAAUUAGGAGAGAUCAUCAUCCAGAUCUUUUUAGAAUUCCAACACAAAAUGGAAGGGAGCUCUCUGUAGGGUGAUAUUACAAAUGGUUUUUCUUGUCUUUCUUUCUUUUUCUUUUUUUUUUUCUUUAAAUAAAAAAGCAUUCCUUACUGGCUUGCUACCAGCAAUUGAACUGUAUUCUUUAUAUAGCUAGAGCUGUUUGUGCCCUCUUAAAAUAAACUUUU
Molecule: long non-coding RNA, 4069 nt
Filed under: Sus scrofa (pig)
Lineage: Eukaryota; Metazoa; Chordata; Mammalia; Artiodactyla; Suidae
Description: lncRNA (ENSSSCG00000061597.1)
Source: RNAcentral